CUAAAGUUGGUUUAGAAAAGUAGUUUGAAGUGAUUUGUAAAAGUAUAUAGGCAACUUUUGUAAUUUUAAAAAGUGACGUUGCGUCUUGUAAAGGGGCAUUUUUCUGGAUCAGACCGGUCUUCAGCAAAUCACAUUUUGGGUAUACAAUGACGGAUUUAAUCGGGAAAAAGACCCAAUUGUGAUGUUUAUGUGACAUAUAGGAGUGCCAAGAAAGAAGCUCGUCGAAGGACCCUACAUCAGGAGACAGAAGCAUCAGUCGUACACAAUUUCGUGGAUGUUAAGAGGUGGAAUUAACUCCAACCAGAAUAGAAGAGCUGCUGUUUUUCCCUGCCUUCCACAAUUCCUGGAGCAGGAUCCAUCCAACUUCAUCAAGAUCUGCCAGGACCUGAGCCCUUGGACCAUGCUUCAGGACUACCUGCCAUGAUGACUCCUUGCUGUCCCCAGUCCACUCGGCCUUGCUGCUGUUCCAGUUUCAACUGUUCUGCCUGCGGCUAUGGAACCCUAAACUGUUCAUUUUUACUCUUGAGGUGCUGUCCUGUUGCACCCUCUACAACCACUGUGAUCUCCACCCGGCACAGCCAGAAAAGGACUGGCCACUCCUCAUAGCCUGGUUCCUCUCUAGGUUUCUUCCUAGGUUUUUGCCUUUCUAGGGAGUUUUUACUAGCCACCGUGCUUCUACACCUGCAUUGCUUGCUGUUUGGGGUUUUAGGCUGGGGCUAUAUAAAUAUAUAUGAUUUGAUAGAGGACUGAGGGUCUUCCAAAUAUUGAAAGUGUAUAAAUAGUGUAAAUAGUUACCCAUGUUAUUUUGUAAAUGUAUAUCAAUAAUAAAAAUUAAAAAUAAGAAUACCAUUUUGGUAUUUUGUAUAUAAUUAUUUGUUUCAAAAUGUAUACCUUCACCAAUUUGGCCACUUGGGUACAUUUGGGCUACUUGUGUGGAACUCCUGGGUGACAUCAUGAUAAAUGUAGCACACUCAUUUUGGAAGUUAUCAUUCUGAAACUUUGCACAAGUACUGUUGCCCUCUUAUAUUUUUCACUGAAUUUGUCCCCGUCAUCCUAUCUGAAUGUUUGUUCUAUCUUGUUCAUUUUAAAGAUGGUGAUACAAAAAUAAAAAAUAA
Molecule: long non-coding RNA, 1115 nt
Organism: Oncorhynchus tshawytscha (Chinook salmon)
Lineage: Eukaryota; Metazoa; Chordata; Actinopteri; Salmoniformes; Salmonidae
Source: Ensembl